This 227-nucleotide ribosomal RNA is filed under the name Aeromonas salmonicida. RNAcentral's name for it is "partial 16S ribosomal RNA". It matches the Rfam family "Bacterial small subunit ribosomal RNA", at positions 1313 to 1533 of the family's 1533-position model. The record is from RNAcentral. Lineage: Bacteria; Pseudomonadati; Pseudomonadota; Gammaproteobacteria; Aeromonadales; Aeromonadaceae.
CGACUCCGUGAAGUCGGAAUCGCUAGUAAUCGCGAAUCAGAAUGUCGCGGUGAAUACGUUCCCGGGCCUUGUACACACCGCCCGUCACACCAUGGGAGUGGGUUGCACCAGAAGUAGAUAGCUUAACCUUCGGGAGGGCGUUUACCACGGUGUGAUUCAUGACUGGGGUGAAGUCGUAACAAGGUAACCCUAGGGGAACCUGGGGUUGGAUCACCUCCUUACCUUAA